GUGAUCAUCGGGAUGCUACAACGGUUAUUAAAUGUGGAAAAUGGCCAUAUGUCACUUUUUUCAGCGCCGUUGUGACUUUGAAGUCACUAAA
Pseudonaja textilis is the source of this 91-nucleotide non-coding RNA. NCBI's taxonomy places the organism in Eukaryota, Metazoa, Chordata, Lepidosauria, Squamata, Elapidae. The record is from RefSeq and is a predicted model, not a curated record.